Long non-coding RNA from Micropterus dolomieu (smallmouth bass), 279 nucleotides. RefSeq lists it as uncharacterized. The record is from RefSeq and is a predicted model, not a curated record. The transcript has 3 exons. NCBI's taxonomy places the organism in Eukaryota, Metazoa, Chordata, Actinopteri, Centrarchiformes, Centrarchidae.
GACCUUACUUCAGAAAAAAUAUGUUCCGUAUUCAAUGCUAACGUUACCGAAGCUAACGUUACCAAAGCUAACGUCAAAGAGCUUCCAUGAGAGGAUAUGUGAUAAAAGGACUGAGAGUCGUUGGAUUAAACACAUCAGGAAACGUUGAACUGCUUACCAAACAAUGGACACUGUGGAUCUGGGCAUUUAUUCAUUUGUAUUUUGAAUAUUAAAGAAAGUUGGUUUGUUACUAUAACUCAGAAGGAAAAUCUUGGAUUAAUAAAAGAUAAAGAUUUACAG